Molecule: ribosomal RNA, 744 nt
Filed under: uncultured fungus
Lineage: Eukaryota; Fungi
Description: eukaryotic LSU rRNA
Rfam family: Eukaryotic large subunit ribosomal RNA
Source: RNAcentral
GCAUAUCAAUAAGCGGAGGAAAAGAAAAUAACAAUGAUUCCCCUAGUAACUGCGAGUGAAGAGGGACAAGCUCAAAUUUUAAAUCUGUCGGGUUCUACCUGACCGAGUUGUAAUUUGAAGAGGCGUUUUCUGUGUUUCUGAUCAGUCCAAGUCCUUUGGGAUAAGGCAUCACGGAGGGUGAGAAUCCCGUUCGGUUGAUCAGAUUCGCUUUAUGAUACGUCAUCAAAGAGUCAAGUUGUUUGGGAUUGCAGCUUAAAAUGGGAGGUAAAUUUCUCCUAAGGCUAAAUAUUGGCGAGAGACCGAUAGCGAACAAGUACCGUGAGGGAAAGAUGAAAAGAACUUUGAAAAGAGAGUUAAACAGUACGUGAAAUUGUUGAAAGGGAAACGAUUGAAGCCAGUCGUACCGGCGGGUAAUCAGCCUUUCGGGUAUGAUUCUGUGGAGCGUGAGGAGUUAAACGCCUUCAUGCCUGCAUAUUCGUGCUCUUGGGUGUACUUGCUCGUGUGGUUGGUUAACAUCAAUUUCGGAUAUCAUAAAAUGGCUGGAGGAAUGUAGCUUCGAUUUCGAUUGAAGUGUUAUAGCCUUCGGCAGAUGUGAUGAUCGGGAUUGAGGAUUGCAACGGAUACCCUUCGGGGCUACCUGUCUGAUCUCUGAUCGUUGCUUUGGUGCCGAAAGCUUGCUUACGGUUAUCAAAGUCGAUGGUCAACAGGUUAGAACGGGUUAAAUUCGUUAAGGAUGUUGACGUA